UUUCAGGUUUUGUGUAGAUGUUGUUUGCAUCGCACUUCAGUUCAGAACAUGGAGGGUUAGGCGGCUCGCCAAUUGGCAGUUCGUUAAAAUCCACAGAACAGUUCCUUUAGUAGGCGAUAGCAAGGCACUCAGACAGUCUUAAUUUGGGGAAAUAAGAUCAAUGAAAAGAUAGGUUACCUGAUGAUACACUUGAAAGAGAAAGGGAUAUGAUAUUUCGUUGAUGACGUGAACUGCAAAAGGAUGCUCUUGGUGGCAACAUCCCGGGCUUCAGAAACAUGAUUGGUUCAGCCGAAAGGAUGUAUUGCAAUUAUGCAGAGAGAUGGAAUUGUUUGAACUCCAGUGCCACCUUCACCAAUCGAUGGCAUGACAAGACAUGCCAUAAGAGCAUCGAUGCUUCUAGGAUGAAGAAUGAAUGCAUGUCAUUCAGGAAUAACUGUGGACAGUGAAAUGUUGAAGGGUCCGUCUCUCACCCCCAC
Triticum aestivum (bread wheat) is the source of this 476-nucleotide long non-coding RNA. RefSeq lists it as uncharacterized. The record is from RefSeq and is a predicted model, not a curated record. Lineage: Eukaryota; Viridiplantae; Streptophyta; Magnoliopsida; Poales; Poaceae. The transcript is spliced from 3 exons.